ACUUCUCUUAGCAUCAAA
This 18-nucleotide small nuclear RNA is filed under the name Arabidopsis thaliana (thale cress). RNAcentral's name for it is "snRNA_11272". The record is from RNAcentral. Lineage: Eukaryota; Viridiplantae; Streptophyta; Magnoliopsida; Brassicales; Brassicaceae.